UACGGAGGGUGCAAGCGUUAUCCGGAAUCACUGGGUUUAAAGGGUGCGUAGGCGGUGGUGUAGGUCAGUUGUGAAAUGCCCCGGCUUAACCGGCGGAACGGCGAUUGAUACCGCAUCACUUGAAUCAGGAUGAGGUAGGCGGAAUGUGGCAUGUAGCGGUGAAAUGCUUAGAUAUGCCAUAGAACACCGAUUGCGAAGGCAGCUUGCUGGGCCUGAAUUGACGCUGAGGCACGAAAGCGUGGGGAGCAAACAGG
This 254-nucleotide ribosomal RNA is filed under the name uncultured bacterium. RNAcentral's name for it is "partial 16S ribosomal RNA". It matches the Rfam family "Bacterial small subunit ribosomal RNA", at positions 524 to 776 of the family's 1533-position model. The record is from RNAcentral.